Molecule: ribosomal RNA, 470 nt
Filed under: uncultured bacterium
Lineage: Bacteria
Description: bacterial SSU rRNA
Rfam family: Bacterial small subunit ribosomal RNA
Source: RNAcentral
GCAGACCAUCCUACGGGAGGCAGCAGUGGGGAAUAUUGCACAAUGGGCGCAAGCCUGAUGCAGCCAUGCCGCGUGUAUGAAGAAGGCCUUCGGGUUGUAAAGUACUUUCAGCAGUGAGGAAGUGGGUAUGUUAAUAGCAUAUUCAUUUGACGUUAGCUGCAGAAGAAGCACCGGCUAACUCCGUGUCAGCAGCCGCGGUAAUACGGAGGGUGCGAGCGUUAAUCGGAAUUACUGGGCGUAAAGCGCAUGCAGGUGGUUUGUUAAGUCAGAUGUGAAAGCCCGGGGCUCAACCUCGGAAUUGCAUUUGAAACUGGCAAACUAGAGUACUGUAGAGGGGGUAGAAUUUCAGGUGUAGCGGUGAAAUGCGUAGAGAUCUGAAGGAAUACCGGUGGCGAAGGCGGCCCCCUGGACAGAUACUGACACUCAGAUGCGAAAGCGUGGGGAGCAAACAGGAUUAGAUACCCUGGUAG